RNAcentral lists this ribosomal RNA (369 nucleotides) under uncultured Methanosaeta sp. RNAcentral describes it as "bacterial SSU rRNA". It matches the Rfam family "Archaeal small subunit ribosomal RNA", at positions 970 to 1338 of the family's 1478-position model. Lineage: Archaea; Methanobacteriati; Methanobacteriota; Methanomicrobia; Methanotrichales; Methanotrichaceae. The record is from RNAcentral.
GCCGGAUUAGCUGAGAGGUGGUGCAUGGCCGUCGUCAGUUCGUACUGUGAAGCAUCCUGUUAAGUCAGGCAACGAGCGAGACCCACGCCCACAGUUGCCAGCGUACUCUCUGGAGUGACGGGUACACUGUGGGGACCGCCGCUGCUAAAGCGGAGGAAGGAAUGGGCAACGGUAGGUCAGUAUGCCCCGAAUAUCCCGGGCUACACGCGAGCUACAAUGGUUGGUACAAUGGGUAUCUACCCCGAAAGGGGACGGGAAUCUCCUAAAACCAAUCUUAGUUCGGAUUGAGGGCUGCAACUCGCCCUCAUGAAGCUGGAAUCCGUAGUAAUCGCGUUUCAACAGAACGCGGUGAAUACGUCCCUGCUCCUU